UAGAAGGUGAAAAUGGCAUAUUUAUUGUUCCCUUUUGAUCCCCAACUUUGUUUUACGUCUAAAAAAUGAAUAGUAAUAGUUGCGAAUAUUUAAUUUUGAACACAAUCGACCAGCCUCCAGUAAGAAAAAUACGGCCUGAUUUAUUGCGAAUUUGUUACAUGUUGGAAACGAAGCAUAGUGUAAACUCAACCAACGUCCAGGCUGAGUUGUAUAGACUGAAACACCAUAAUCAAAGUUGAUAAUGAAGGUUGAAUCAGUUAUCAGAAGUAACAAUAAUAACAGUUGUUCAACUCGCACGAUAUAACUAAUGUUGGGGCGCAGUAGUUCAGCUGAUCUCAAGUACAGCGGCUAAAACAGAACUUAGUGUUCAUGUUGAAGUAACAGAAAAAAUAAUCUUCCACACUUUCAGUUCGGACAUAAGAUUAUCCUGCAGUAAAUUAGAAAAAUAAGUGGAUAAAGACUUAAGCGUCGGAACAGUCUAAAAACUGACCUUGGGAAAUUGGUUUUGCAAAUGUUCACGUAACUUAUCAUUAUUCGGGUCCAGAUAGAAACUGUUAUUUUCAUCUCAAAAAGAAAUAAAACUAUAAGUAUAAAAGUGAGGGAGAGGGAGAAAACAACAAAUCAACUUUUAUUCACGUUUUUCUGCAGAACAACAAAAAAGGCCACCAAAAGAAGCAGCGAGCUGGAACUGAUAUUCAACACCAACACCAGGAGCUAGGGAGAGGGGUGAUGGUGCAGUGUACUAGGUCAUUCCUUUUAGCAAACUAUAAGAAAACAACUAUCUAGUAAAGCACCAUAUUAAAUAUAGGUGUAUAUUAUAGAAGAUAAAAGUCACCAUGAGUUUGAAGACAACCAGACACAUUCUAACUUGGACGACUCUGCGUGACAAGAUAAAAGGAUGCCACACCCAUCGUUUCCAAAUCCAUUAAAUUGUGGAUCGUAAGACACAGUUUCAAUCUUGUCCGAUGAAAACCGCUUUUCAGAAAGCAAGUUGAGAAUGAAGAAAGUACAGCAAAGUUUGAACAGUAGGUGGAGGUGCUGAUGAGAAUAAGAUGAGAUAGCAAAAACGCAAUGCUCGUGCUUUAAUGGGAGGCUUAGUACUGACACGGAAAUGUGGAUUAUAAUGCCAGUAGAGG
Molecule: long non-coding RNA, 1136 nt
Organism: Limulus polyphemus (Atlantic horseshoe crab)
Lineage: Eukaryota; Metazoa; Arthropoda; Merostomata; Xiphosura; Limulidae
Exons: 3
Source: RefSeq, a predicted model, not a curated record